RNAcentral lists this ribosomal RNA (1343 nucleotides) under uncultured bacterium. Its description in RNAcentral is "16S ribosomal RNA". It matches the Rfam family "Bacterial small subunit ribosomal RNA", at positions 28 to 1378 of the family's 1533-position model. The record is from RNAcentral.
GACGAACGCUGGCGGCGUGCUUAACACAUGCAAGUCGAACGGAAAGGCCCUGCUUUUGUGGGGUGCUCGAGUGGCGAACGGGUGAGUAACACGUGAGUAACCUGCCCUUGACUUUGGGAUAACUUCAGGAAACUGGGGCUAAUACCGGAUAGGAGCUCCUGCUGCAUGGUGGGGGUUGGAAAGUUUCGGCGGUUGGGGAUGGACUCGCGGCUUAUCAGCUUGUUGGUGGGGUAGUGGCUUACCAAGGCUUUGACGGGUAGCCGGCCUGAGAGGGUGACCGGCCACAUUGGGACUGAGAUACGGCCCAGACUCCUACGGGAGGCAGCAGUGGGGAACAUUGCACAAUGGGCGGAAGCCUGAUGCAGCAACGCCGCGUGCGGGAUGACGGCCUUCGGGUUGUAAACCGCUUUCGCCUGUGACGAAGCGUGAGUGACGGUAAUGGGUAAAGAAGCACCGGCUAACUACGUGCCAGCAGCCGCGGUGAUACGUAGGGUGCGAGCGUUGUCCGGAUUUAUUGGGCGUAAAGGGCUCGUAGGUGGUUGAUCGCGUCGGAAGUGUAAUCUUGGGGCUUAACCCUGAGCGUGCUUUCGAUACGGGUUGACUUGAGGAAGGUAGGGGAGAAUGGAAUUCCUGGUGGAGCGGUGGAAUGCGCAGAUAUCAGGAGGAACACCAGUGGCGAAGGCGGUUCUCUGGGCCUUUCCUGACGCUGAGGAGCGAAAGCGUGGGGAGCGAACAGGCUUAGAUACCCUGGUAGUCCACGCUGUAAACGGUGGGUACUAGGUGUGGGGUCCAUUCCACGGGUUCCGUGCCGUAGCUAACGCUUUAAGUACCCCGCCUGGGGAGUACGGCCGCAAGGCUAAAACUCAAAGGAAUUGACGGGGCCCCGCACAAGCGGCGGAGCAUGCGGAUUAAUUCGAUGCAACGCGUAGAACCUUACCUGGGUUUGACAUGGAUCGGGAGCGCUCAGAGAUGGGUGUGCCUCUUUUGGGGUCGGUUCACAGGUGGUGCAUGGCUGUCGUCAGCUCGUGUCGUGAGAUGUUGGGUUAAGUCCCGCAACGAGCGCAACCCUUGUUCACUGUUGCCAGCACGUUAUGGUGGGGACUCAGUGGAGACCGCCGGGGUCAACUCGGAGGAAGGUGGGGAUGACGUCAAGUCAUCAUGCCCCUUAUGUCCAGGGCUUCACGCAUGCUACAAUGGCUGGUACAGAGAGUGGCGAGCCUGUGAGGGUGAGCGAAUCUCGGAAAGCCGGUCUCAGUUCGGAUUGGGGUCUGCAACUCGACCUCAUGAAGUCGGAGUCGCUAGUAAUCGCAGAUCAGCAACGCUGCGGUGAAUACGUUCCCGGG